UUUGAAGCGAGGAAGCCGCGCGCCCUGCGAGUCCGGAGGAGGAAAUGGAGCUCUGCGCUGCGUGGGACCCGGGGGACGGCUCCCGUUGGCGCCGCCUUCAAGGUAAGGGAUUAAGAGGCCGAGAGAGAUAUCGUCUGCGAGGGUGAGGAUACUGGAGGUUGGCAGUGUCAGCAUCGCAAGAGUGCUCUACCAGAGGAGGAGGAGGAGGAGGAAGGAGCUGGGCAUAACUGGACCAUCUCGAUCCAGCCCGUGGGGAAUCCAGAGGGGAUAACAAGAGGAUAUAACCACAGGACAAUUCAUUAGGCUGUGUUUUGACGUUUCCUGAAUUCUAUUCCAAAUUAUUCACAAAGGCAUAUUAAAAUAAUUUUAUCUUACAAAUUCACAUAUUUAAAAUUUGAACAUGGAAACAGACUCUAGAUGACAUCAAAUAUUCCUUAUUAUGAUAUACAAGAAUGUAACAUAUGCUAAAUAUUC
This is a long non-coding RNA of Homo sapiens (human), 474 nucleotides long. Ensembl annotates it as CEP192 divergent transcript. Its record names the gene CEP192-DT. Lineage: Eukaryota; Metazoa; Chordata; Mammalia; Primates; Hominidae. The record is from Ensembl.